GUCACCCAGGCUUCAGGUAUAACUGUUAAAGAGCUUGAUAAACACCUACCGUGGUUACCACUGCAAACAUGCUGCCGAGUACUGAUGUUCCCAUCCAUAUUCCAUCCUUGUUUCUAACAGGAGGACUUCAGAUGGCACACUGCACACUGUCCUUGUGAUGGGUGAUUCGAUGGUUUACCAAAUUGUAUCCAACAUUACUUCAUGAAAGAACAGUUCUAACAAUUUUGUGUGGGACCAUCUACUGAAGAGUGGCCAUCACACCUUGAGCCACACUCUCAAAGAAAACUGACACUCUCCCAGCAAUCAUCAGCUACUCACAGCUCCUCAGUGAGGGAUAAAUUCCACAAUGAACUGUUGUCAGGCUCCAUCUUGUGCAUAUCUUGGGCAGACAACCACAGUUCCUUUGAGUUCACGAGUGCAGUGGAUUUGUCAUAUCUAGAAGAUAGUGUUCUCUUCUGAUCCUCCCUGACCUCUGUCUCUUAAAAUUUUUUCUCCACACUUCCAUGAUGGUCCCCGAGCCUUGGGGAGGAAUGUGGUAUAGAUGCCCCAUUUAUGACAGAGCUCUACUGACACUUCUCUGCACUUGGACCCGUUGUGAGUUUCUAUAUUAACCACAAUCCACUGCACAAAGAAACUUCUCUAAUGAUGUUUGAGAGCUGCACUAAUGAGAGCCUGGACCCAGAAGAAUACUCUACUUUCUUCCUCCAGAAAUUCAGAGUUUCCAGUCUAGUAGAUCAACCUGGAAUUGACUUGAGCACAAGACCCCUCAAGAUUCUACGUAUGAGAUCACAUCAUCUACAACUGGAGAUGGUUUUACUUCUUCUUCCUUUUCCAUUUAAUGGUUUCGACUUCUCCUUUCAUCUCCCCUCCUUUGGUCCUCCAGUACAGUGUAGGUUCAAACACUCCUUUCUGUCUUAUUCCUGAUCAUACAGAUGCUCUGUGUUGAGGUAUUUGAGAAAGUCCCUUUCCUUCAUUAGUGUUUUUAUGGGCGGGGGGCAUGUUUUUAUUGAAGAAAGUUAUUCCAUAUGGCUUUAUUGGCUGAUCUUUUCCAAUAGCAAAGCAAUUUUUAUUCAUUCAAAAAUUCCUCUUAAAAACCCCCUUUUUAUCUUGUGGCAAAAUAAUCUGAUUUUUAAUUG
This 1136-nucleotide long non-coding RNA is filed under the name Mus spretus (western wild mouse). Its description in RNAcentral is "lncRNA (ENSMSPG00010024711.1)". Lineage: Eukaryota; Metazoa; Chordata; Mammalia; Rodentia; Muridae. The record is from RNAcentral.